GGGCGGCGAGCUUAAGCCUCUGCACACCCUGCAGUCAGGAAGUCCUUUGCUUUCUGAUGCAGGGCUCUACCCUCUGCCUCUUGUUUUUAUGAUCUCCCCACUCUAAAAAUAAAACCUCUUCCACUUCCCUCCCCAGGCCUCAGACGCUUUCCUGGCCACGCCUCCCCAUGGCGGCGGCGGCGGCGUGGAUCACACCAGCGUCUCCCCUGGGCAGAUCCAGCCUCGUUCUUCCGGCUUGGGACUGGGUCCUUGCCUCUGAGGUGGCACCCUCUCCCCUUGAUACCCCUGCUGUCCUAUCUGGGGUUCAGGCUUACAGCUGGCUGGGAUCUCAUCCUCUGGAUCCAGGAAUGCCUUGGGCUCUGGGGGCCCAUCUUCAGCUGUAAUGUAGGAAAAUAAAGUUACCAGCCAUCCCGGGAGUUCCCUCCAGCUUUGGCCCUGGUUCCGGGUUCCCACCUCGAGGCAAGCAAGUAUAUGGAAAGGAUGCUCAGGUUAAAGGUUCAUGAAACAGCUAGCCGCCCUAGCCCCAUGCCAGCUCCAGCGUGUGGAGGAAACUACUCGAUCACGGCAGCUACUCACUCCAGCUCCGGAAGCUGCUGCCCCAGGCAUGACCAUUUCAAAGAGAAUUCACAAGUGUCCAUGAACUCUAGCUGACUCUAUCACAAUCUCUCCCCAAGCCAGAGGAGAGGGGCUGAGCUGAACCCAGAUCAAAAGGCAGCAGCAACUGGACUGGGAAAAGAAGCCAUCGCGGCGGCGGCCAAGCGGCCAGGCAGGCCGCAGAGGCAAUGGCAGAAGGGAACCAUGGGAAACGCGCUAGCCUUGAGACAGGCAUUAUUAGCUCCUGGAAGGAAGGAAAGGCAGGGCCCAUUGUGGACCAUGAGACAUGCGACCGCUCCCUUGAUUGGACCAUGAACACAGAUUACCUUUCCUGUCGGGCCAAAGAACCACGCAUAAGGCCUGGCAGGGAUUGAGAAGGACGAGUGAAGAAUAGCUUGCCUUGGAGUUCAGGAGAGGCCUCCCACUGGUCCAUGCUGCAGGGAUUUGUCAUCUCUGCCUCGGAGCUUUGUCCCCAGUAAGAACCUGAUGCCAACAGGUCUCACAUUCCUCCGUGGGUUUGUUUUGCCUCAAGGUAACCUUGGGACAUGGGGGUGGCAGGCGUGGGUGGGAGUUUUCAUUACAGGAACCUCGCUGUGCUGUCCUGGCGACACCAGAUGACUCCUCAUUCUGAUGCCAGGCCCCUACCCAGUUCUCCCUUUGACACGGAGCCUUUGUAUAGGCCUCGCUCACCAGGCCAGGGCCCUCAUCCCUGCUCCAGCAGCCUCUGCCCCCCGCGCCUCCGCCCCAUCUCUCCCUCCCCUCUCAGCCUCAGAUUUUCCUACCCCUCCUCGUUCAGAGCUCUGGUUCCUUCCCCUGUGAAAAGCUACAUUUCUCUGCAUCCUCUCAGACCUUCACACUCUUUCCCCGCCGGCCAUCAAGAAAGGCUGGCACCAAGCCUGGAUGGACACAGGAUCCCUGUAUGUCACCUCUCGGGCCCUUUGACAACUGAAGCAUCCUCACACGUUUGUCUCUCAGGGAAGCCCAGAUGUUAUUUCCAUGGAAACCUAGUGAACCAAAACCUUCGUCUCCAAGACCAGCUUCCUGCCUCUGUUCACUGGAAACAGCCAAGGCCCUGGGAGGCACCUGGCUGACAGAUGGUGGCCUGCACCUGUGACUCCUGGUGUGGCUCAUCCUUGGGUAUCCAAGUCUAAAGAUGCUGGAUGCUAGGACAGAACAGGAAUGUUGUUUUUAACAACAUCUCAAUCAUUCGAUUUUACCAGUAAAGACCCGGGAGCCAGAUGCCGGGGUGAAAGCCUGCUAGCUCGGAGAGGCAGAGAAAGCACCCAGCUGACCUUCUCCUCCACCGAUGUCCCUGAAGCCUUCCCACGCCAUCUCAAAGAAGACUCACGAAACUCAACUGACUCCCGAGUCUUUACUGCCCCAGGACCCAGGCAGAGCGGAGUCCUCAAAGAGGUGCAUGCAGUGUGGAGAGCCAUGGGAGCAGCUUUUUCCUCAAUGGCUUUUCUGUUUAGAAAUCACACUUGGGGGGCUGGAAAGAUGGCUCAGUGGUUAAGAGCACCGACUGCUCUUCCAGAGGUCCUGAGUUCAAUUCCC
Peromyscus leucopus (white-footed mouse) is the source of this 2148-nucleotide long non-coding RNA. RefSeq lists it as uncharacterized. The record is from RefSeq and is a predicted model, not a curated record. The transcript has 5 exons. NCBI's taxonomy places the organism in Eukaryota, Metazoa, Chordata, Mammalia, Rodentia, Cricetidae.